UAGGGAAUCUUCCACAAGGGACGCAAGGCUGAUGGAGCAACGCCGCGGGAGUGAAGAAGGUUGUCGGAUCGUAAAGCUCUGGGGUGGGUGAAGAAGGAUAGAGGCAGGAACUGGUCUUUAUGGGACGGGAAUCAACCAGAAAGGCACGGCUAACGACGUGCCAGCAGCCGCGGUAAUACGUAGGUGGCAAGCGUUGUCCGGAUUUAUUGGGCGUAAAGCGAGCGCAGGCGGAAUGAUAAGUCUGAUGUGAAAGCCCACGGCUCAACCGUGGAACUGCAUCGGAAACUGUCAUUCUUGAGUGCAGAAGAGGAGAGUGGAAUUCCAUGUGUAGCGGUGGAAUGCGUAGAUAUAUGGAAGAACACCAGUGGCGAAGGCGGCUCUCUGGUCUGCAACUGACGCUGAGGCUCGAAAGCAUGGGUAGCGAACAGG
Molecule: ribosomal RNA, 429 nt
Filed under: bacterium
Lineage: Bacteria
Description: partial 16S ribosomal RNA
Rfam family: Bacterial small subunit ribosomal RNA
Source: RNAcentral